GACGAACGCUGGCGGCGUGCUUAACACAUGCAAGUCGAACGAAGUGGCGAACGGGUGAGUAACGCGUAAUCAACCUGCCCUUCAGAGGGGGACAACAGUUGGAAACGACUGCUAAUAACGCAUACUGAAGGAGGGGAUUGCGUCUGAUUAGCUAGUUGGAGGGGUAACGGCCCACCAAGGCGAUGAUCAGUAGCCGGUCUUAGAGGAGUCACGUCCACAUUGGGACUGGGACACGGCCCAGACUCCUACGGGCGGCAGCAGUGCGGACUCUUCCGCAAUGGACGAAAGUCUGACGUAGCAACGCCGCGUGAGUGAUGACGGCCUUCGGGUUGUAAAGCUCUGUUAAUCGGGACGCGGUACCGGAAUAGAAAGCCACGGCUAACUACGUGCCAGCAGCCGCGGUAAUAC
Molecule: ribosomal RNA, 408 nt
Filed under: uncultured bacterium
Lineage: Bacteria
Description: partial 16S ribosomal RNA
Rfam family: Bacterial small subunit ribosomal RNA
Source: RNAcentral